RNAcentral lists this ribosomal RNA (329 nucleotides) under uncultured bacterium. RNAcentral's name for it is "bacterial SSU rRNA". It matches the Rfam family "Bacterial small subunit ribosomal RNA", at positions 464 to 793 of the family's 1533-position model. The record is from RNAcentral.
GAAAAAUGACGGUACCUUAGGAGGAAGCCCCGGCUAACUACGUGCCAGCAGCCGCGGUAAUACGUAGGGGGCAAGCGUUAUCCGGAAUCACUGGGCGUAAAGGGUGCGUAGGCGGCUUGACAAGCCAGGGGUGAAAGGCAUUGGCUCAACCAAUGUAAGCCUUUGGAACUGUUAAGCUUGAGUGCAGGAGAGGUAAGUGGAAUUCCUAGUGUAGAGGUGAAAUUCGUAGAUAUUAGGAGGAACACCAGUGGCGAAGGCGACUUACUGGACUGUAACUGACGCUGAUGCACGAAAGCGUGGGUAGCGAACAGGAUUAGAUACCCUGGUAG